GGUUUCACAAGGUGCUGUCUGUGGAGUCGAUGGCUGUCACAUUGCUGAUAAUCAUGAUCAUAAUCACCAUCCUUAUGUGUGCUUUUGCAAUUCAGGUUACCAGCACAACUACCGGUUUUGUUCCUGCGAAGAUACUGACCCCCCAGAAGAUUAUCAGCGAGAACAGCGACUUGCAUUUAACCUGCAGCACAUUUAGGUUAAAGGAUAACAUCAUGGUUCAUGUUUAUUUAUGUCACAAUGACAUAUGGAUUGACCAAAAGAAGCAGAAGAAUGAUCAUUAUGAUAGCCUUUUCAUCAUACCCAUAGCUAGCCUUAAUGACAGUGGAAACUACAGUUGUGUUUUCUCAAGAGAGAAUGAUUUACUUCCUAAAGAACCAAUGAAAGGACUCAACGUGAUUCAGAUUGUGGUCAUAGCCAUUUAUCUCCCUGCAGAUAUUUCAAUAGCUGGACGUUCGGCUGUCAAGGAGGGGGGCGAUGUCACAUUUCGAUGUUCUGUCUCUGACACCCUGCAAACACUCGGUGAUUGUCAAUUCAUCCACUCCCACCUGAGGAGGAAUGAGACACUCGUCCAAGUACAACCGUUCAGCGUUAAACGGAUGGAGGCCACUUUCACCAUCCGAGGCGCCGUCAGUAAGGAUACGGGCAACUACAGCUGCGUGGUGCUGCCAUCCAAAUGCGUUCCAGAGCAGGAGGAAACACGCCAUGGAAAUAACGCAGUGAUGCUCGUGGUGAAAGAAAGUUUGGUCCUCCGAGUGAUGGUCUCUUGUGGAGUAGUAGCCCUGAUGUCACUAGUGGGUUUGUGUCUGUGGUUGAUCAACAAACAAAGUCAGAUCAUCGCAGAGAAAUCAAAAGUGGCCUUCUCAGCUUCAUUCAAUGCGGCGAGUAGGCACUCACAUGCAGACAUGUCUGAGGAGCAGAACGACAUGGAAUCACAGGACGUUAUCAGAAUGUUGUGAAUGCUGCAGUCUCAAUUAAUUUUGACGAUUGUGAGGGACUGUACAGUGCUGCUGAUGAGUCAUCCGGUGCUGCUGUGUAUUCAAUGCCCACCAGAGGAAGCCCAUGACCAGAUCCAGUGCUGACCUGAUUGUAUUCAACUCAGUGGCGCAACUGGAACACCUGUUUUAUUCAGCCUCGGUGUCUGCUGAGUUCAAUGACCUUAUCUGAUAAGGAAGCCACUCCAGCAACAGUAGAAGCUGUUUUAGCAGCGUACAAGCAGUGACGAACAUCCAACGUUUUUCUGAUGACUGCUUUUGUCAUUACUGCUGCAACUUGAUGGAAGGAAUGGAGUUACCACUUUGUAAUUAAAAUGAGGGAACAGCAGUUAGCAUGGCUGCAAAUAGAUAUGUAAAUAACUUAUGUGAAGAUAGUGGAUUUAAUUUUGAGCCGUGGUGACUGUCUUUUGCUGGAAUUUUAUAUUUUGAACAUUGAAACCCUUCGUUUCAAUAGUGAUGUUACUUGGAUCCCUCCUGCCAUAUUCAAGUGAUCAUGCAUGAUAGACUUACUUACUUACUUCCCCUUCGACUACCAAAACUGCACGAUGAAGUUCGGCUCAUGGACCUACGACAAGGCCAAAAAACCCUGACGCGCCGCCAGCGGCUUUUCAACAACGCGCAGCUCUCCGACCUCAAUAACUUAAGUGGAGACCCGGCCAAAGGUGCCGGCUCAGCGCUCCUGUCCUGCGAGGCCCACUGCGACUGCUGCUGGCGCCAGAGAUCCGGCAAACUGCCGGCAGACUCGGGGGAGGGCAGCGGGGCACUGGGCAGCCUGGGGGCGCUGAGCGGGGGCAGUGCCGUCGGGGUCGGCGGGGGGAGUCAGUGCUCCAGCGCCGAGUCCGUGGCGGCAGGGACAAUGUCCGUGUUGCCGCUGUCCCCCGCGGUCCAGGAGGCCAUCGAAAGUGUCAAGUACAUAGCAGAGAAUAUGAGACUCCAGAAUGAGGCAAAGGAGGUUCAGGAUGACUGGAAGUACGUUGCCAUGGUUAUCGACAGAAUCUUCCUCUGGGUCUUUGUCCUUGUGUGCAUCCUGGGAACAGCUGGCCUCUUCCUCCGGCCUUUAUUACUUUGGGAUGACGUCUAAAUAAGUUUGAUAAAGCAAAUAAUUCAAUAUUACUCAGUGCACAGCAGUUAUUAUUCAUAAGACUCGACACAGAGAGAGGAAAUACUGAUCUGAUUCAAAGUCACGGAGGAAACGUUUAGAUGAAUGUUUUUGAUAGAUAUUCUUUUUGUUUGAAGAACUGGUUAAGAGCUCCCCAAUGCAGAGGACACUGUUAAAUGAUGUCAAAGACAACAGAGUCAUUUAAUUGUUUUCAAACUAGUUUUGCAGCAAUGUUUUGUAGUGAUCGACAAUGCUGGGAAAUAAAUAAAUAGUGAAUUGUUCUCAUUUUCUCCGCUUUAGGCAACAUUUAAAUUCUGUAAGUGUGAAAGACAACAGCAACCAUUUGUUGGAGAGGCAGUAAUCAACUCAAAUCGUCAUCACCUGCUGGUCAGCAACUUUGUGUGCGGCUGUUGAGAUGUUUGUUUCUUUGUCUGGACGUCUGCACACUUGUCCCCUUUUAUGAAAAUAAUCAUUAUUGCCGAGGACAUACUGUUGUAGUGUCAAUCAUUUCAAGGGGUAACCAAUUAGAUUGUGUGAUCUUGAAGCACAAUUCAAUUUCAAAUUAAUUAUGAGGGUAUGUAUUUUCUCAAAUGCAACCACUGUGUCACCAGGAAGCUCGGGAAUUUCUUCUUUAAAUGUCAAAUCCAGAUUUGGCAUUGAUUUAACAUUUCUUUUCAUGUUUCAUGGACUGUGUUCAAAGAGUGCCACCAUGUGGCAAUGAUUCGGUACUACAAUCACAUGUAGCUCAUUUUGACAUUGUCUUUGUUGUCACACAUUCCCAGUGGAAAAAUAUUAUGUUCUAUUCCAUUGUUUUUACUUUCGAAAAUUGGAUAGGUAUAAUUUCUUUAAAAUAAAAUAGAAAAGCAUGUACAAACACAUUUUAGUUCUGUCUAAACCAAGUACUUCUGUA
This is an RNA transcript of Pungitius pungitius (ninespine stickleback), 3001 nucleotides long. RefSeq lists it as uncharacterized. NCBI's taxonomy places the organism in Eukaryota, Metazoa, Chordata, Actinopteri, Perciformes, Gasterosteidae. The transcript is spliced from 10 exons. The record is from RefSeq and is a predicted model, not a curated record.